CCUACGGGGCGCAGCAGUGAGGAAUAUUGGUCAAUGGACGAGAGUCUGAACCAGCCAAGUAGCGUGAAGGAUGACUGCCCUAUGGGUUGUAAACUUCUUUUAUAUGGGAAUAAAAUGUUCCACGUGUGGGAUUUUGUAUGUACCAUAUGAAUAAGGAUCGGCUAACUCCGUGCCAGCAGCAGCGGUAAUACGGAGGAUCCGAGCGUUAUCCGGAUUUAUUGGGUUUAAAGGGAGCGUAGGUGGAUUGUUAAGUCAGUUGUGAAAGUUUGCGGCUCAACCGUAAAAUUGCAGUUGAAACUGGCAGUCUUGAGUACAGUAGAGGUGGGCGGAAUUCGUGGUGUAGCGGUGAAAUGCUUAGAUAUCACGAAGAACUCCGAUUGCGAAGGCAGUUCACUGGACUGCAACUGACACUGAGGCUCGAAAGUGUGGGUAUCAAACAGGAUUAGAUACCCUGGUAGUC
RNAcentral lists this ribosomal RNA (460 nucleotides) under uncultured bacterium. Its description in RNAcentral is "partial 16S ribosomal RNA". It matches the Rfam family "Bacterial small subunit ribosomal RNA", at positions 338 to 795 of the family's 1533-position model. The record is from RNAcentral.